GACGAACGCUGGCGGCGUGCUUAACACAUGCAAGUCGAACGGAAAGGCCCUGCUUUUGUGGGGUGCUCGAGUGGCGAACGGGUGAGUAACACGUGAGUAACCUGCCCUUGACUUUGGGAUAACUUCAGGAAACUGGGGCUCAUACCGGAUAGGAGCUCCUGCUGCAUGGUGGGGGUUGGAAAGUUUCGGCGGUUGGGGAUGGACUCGCGGCUUAUCAGCUUGUUGGUGGGGUAGUGGCUUACCAAGGCUUUGACGGGUAGCCGGCCUGAGAGGGUGACCGGCCACAUUGGGACUGAGAUACGGCCCAGACUCAUACGGGAGGCAGCAGGGGGGAAUAUUGCAGAAUGGGCGGAAGCCUGAUGCAGCAACGCCGCGUGCGGGAUGACGGCCUUCGGGUUGUAAACCGCUUUCGCCUGUGACGAAGCGUGAGUGACGGUAAUGGGUAAAGAAGCACCGGCUAACUACGUG
RNAcentral lists this ribosomal RNA (468 nucleotides) under uncultured bacterium. RNAcentral's name for it is "partial 16S ribosomal RNA". It matches the Rfam family "Bacterial small subunit ribosomal RNA", at positions 28 to 507 of the family's 1533-position model. The record is from RNAcentral.